Molecule: ribosomal RNA, 474 nt
Filed under: uncultured bacterium
Lineage: Bacteria
Description: bacterial SSU rRNA
Rfam family: Bacterial small subunit ribosomal RNA
Source: RNAcentral
AACGCUGGCGGCACGCUUAACACAUGCAAGUCGAACGGAGUUAUGGAGCUUGCUUUGAUAAACUUAGUGGCGGACGGGUGAGUAACACGUGAGCAAUCUGCCCUUAAGAGGGGGAUAGCAGUUGGAAACGACUGAUAAUACCGCAUAAGAUAGUAGUACCGCAUGGUACAGCUAUAAAAGAUUUUAUCGCUUAAGGAUGAGCUCGCGUCUGAUUAGCUAGUUUGGUGAGGUAACGGCUCACCAAGGCAACGAUCAGUAGCCGGACUGAGAGGUUGGACGGCCACAUUGGGACUGAGACACGGCCCAGACUCCUACGGGAGGCAGCAGUGGGGAAUAUUGCACAAUGGAGGAAACUCUGAAUGCAGCGAUGCCGCGUGAGGGAAGAAGGUUUUAGGAUUGUAAACCUCUGUUGACAGGGACGAUAAUGACGGUACCUGUUGAGGAAGCUCCGGCUAACUACGUGCCAGCCGCCGC